GGGUCGUUAGCUCAGUUGGUAGAGCAGCGGACUUUUAAUCCGUUGGUCGCAGGUUCGAGUCCCGCACGGCCUACCA
RNAcentral lists this transfer RNA (76 nucleotides) under Herbaspirillum seropedicae. RNAcentral describes it as "tRNA-Lys". It matches the Rfam family "tRNA". From Rfam's summary of the family: Transfer RNA (tRNA) molecules are approximately 80 nucleotides in length. Their secondary structure includes four short double-helical elements and three loops (D, anti-codon, and T loops). Further hydrogen bonds mediate the characteristic L-shaped molecular structure. tRNAs have two regions of fundamental functional importance: the anti-codon, which is responsible for specific mRNA codon recognition, and the 3' end, to which the tRNAs corresponding amino acid is attached (by aminoacyl-tRNA synthetases). tRNAs cope with the degeneracy of the genetic code in two manners: having more than one tRNA (with a specific anti-codon) for a particular amino acid; and 'wobble' base-pairing, i.e. permitting non-standard base-pairing at the 3rd anti-codon position. The record is from RNAcentral. Lineage: Bacteria; Pseudomonadati; Pseudomonadota; Betaproteobacteria; Burkholderiales; Oxalobacteraceae. RNAcentral also lists the same sequence under 75 other names.